Molecule: long non-coding RNA, 281 nt
Filed under: Parus major (Great Tit)
Lineage: Eukaryota; Metazoa; Chordata; Aves; Passeriformes; Paridae
Description: lncRNA (ENSPMJG00000004968.1)
Source: RNAcentral
CUUGAUUUUCAUUCAUGCAGCCUCCUGAAAGGAAGAAAACGGAUGCAACCUCAAAGAGAGAGAUGAAUUCCCACUCUGUAACGGAGCUGGCAGACACAAUAUUCCUUGUAUCCUGCACAUCCUUCCUGCUGUCAUCUUUACUUCUUCUGAGAAAGCCUUCCUUGCCAGAUCCAUGAAUCCAUCAUCAGGAAAUCAAUCAGAGAGAAGAUGCCACUAAGAGGAGUGGAUUUUGUUUCAAGAUCUGCUGCUGUUAAUGCGAAUAAACCACAUGUUUAUGACCA